UGCCAGCCGCCGCGGUAAUACGUAGGGUGCGAGCGUUGUUCGGAAUUACUGGGCGUAAAGGGCGUGCAGGCGGAUUGGCAAGCCGGAGGUGAAAGCCCGGGGCUCAACCCCGGAGGGUCUUUCGGAACUGCCAGUCUUGAGAGGGUCAGGGGCCAGCGGAAUUCCUGGUGUAGAGGUGAAAUUCGUAGAGAUCAGGAGGAACACCGGCGGCGAAAGCGGCUGGCUGGGGCCACUCUGACGCUGAGGCGCGAAAGCGUGGGGAGCAAACAGGAUUAGAUA
This 279-nucleotide ribosomal RNA is filed under the name uncultured bacterium. RNAcentral's name for it is "partial 16S ribosomal RNA". It matches the Rfam family "Bacterial small subunit ribosomal RNA", at positions 506 to 784 of the family's 1533-position model. The record is from RNAcentral.